Phyllostomus discolor (pale spear-nosed bat) is the source of this 100-nucleotide long non-coding RNA. RefSeq lists it as uncharacterized. The transcript is spliced from 3 exons. NCBI's taxonomy places the organism in Eukaryota, Metazoa, Chordata, Mammalia, Chiroptera, Phyllostomidae. The record is from RefSeq and is a predicted model, not a curated record.
AUUAACACCAACUACUUGACUUUUCUGAGCAGCUUUAUGGGAAUAAUGGACAUAGUGGGUUUACCUAAGAUGACUUGUAAGACUGAACGGAACAAGCAAA